This 590-nucleotide ribosomal RNA is filed under the name Scheffersomyces cryptocercus. RNAcentral describes it as "partial 26S ribosomal RNA". It matches the Rfam family "Eukaryotic large subunit ribosomal RNA", at positions 62 to 670 of the family's 3401-position model. Lineage: Eukaryota; Fungi; Ascomycota; Pichiomycetes; Serinales; Debaryomycetaceae. The record is from RNAcentral.
AAACCAACAGGGAUUGUCUUAGUAACGGCGAGUGAAGCGACAAAAGCUCAAAUUUGAAAUCUGGCACCUUCGGUGUCCGAGUUGUAAUUUGAAGAAGGUAACUUUGGAGUUGGCUCUUGUCUAUGUUCCUUGGAACAGGACGUCACAGAGGGUGAGAAUCCCGUGCGAUGAGAUGUCCAACUCUAUGUAAAGUGCUUUCGAAGAGUCGAGUUGUUUGGGAAUGCAGCUCUAAGUGGGUGGUAAAUUCCAUCUAAAGCUAAAUAUUGGCGAGAGACCGAUAGCGAACAAGUACAGUGAUGGAAAGAUGAAAAGAACUUUGAAAAGAGAGUGAAAAAGUACGUGAAAUUGUUGAAAGGGAAGGGUUUGAGAUCAGACUUGGUAUUUUGUAUGUCUUGCUUUCGGGUGGGGCCUCUGCAGUUUACUGGGCCAGCAUCGGUUUGGACGGUAGGAUAAUGACAUUGGAAUGUGGCACUACUUCGGUGGUGUGUUAUAGACUUUGUUGAUACUGCCUGUCUAGACCGAGGACUGCGUCUUUGACUAGGAUGCUGGCAUAAUGAUCCUAAACCGCCCGCCAAACCACCCCGACAAAA